RNAcentral lists this ribosomal RNA (378 nucleotides) under uncultured bacterium. RNAcentral describes it as "bacterial SSU rRNA". It matches the Rfam family "Bacterial small subunit ribosomal RNA", at positions 521 to 896 of the family's 1533-position model. The record is from RNAcentral.
UAAGACGUAGGGCGCGAGCGUUGUCCGGAUUUAUUGGGCGUAAAGAGCUCGUAGGCGGCUUGUCGCGUCGACUGUGAAAACCCGCGGCUCAACCGCGGGCCUGCAGUCGAUACGGGCAGGCUAGAGUUCGGUAGGGGAGACUGGAAUUCCUGGUGUAGCGGUGAAAUGCGCAGAUAUCAGGAGGAACACCGAUGGCGAAGGCAGGUCUCUGGGCCGAUACUGACGCUGAGGAGCGAAAGCGUGGGGAGCGAACAGGAUUAGAUACCCUGGUAGUCCACGCUGUAAACGUUGGGCGCUAGGUGUGGGGGACCUCUCCGGUUCUCUGUGCCGCAGCUAACGCAUUAAGCGCCCCGCCUGGGGAGUACGGCCGCAAGGCUA